RNAcentral lists this ribosomal RNA (467 nucleotides) under uncultured bacterium. RNAcentral describes it as "partial 16S ribosomal RNA". It matches the Rfam family "Bacterial small subunit ribosomal RNA", at positions 28 to 507 of the family's 1533-position model. The record is from RNAcentral.
GACGAACGCUGGCGGCGUGCUUAACACAUGCAAGUCGAACGGAAAGGCCCUGCUUUUGUGGGGUGCUCGAGUGGCGAACGGGUGAGUAACACGUGAGUAACCUGCCCUUGACUUUGGGAUAACUUCAGGAAACUGGGGCUAAUACCGGAUAGGAGCUCCUGCUGCAUGGUGGGGGUUGGAAAGUUUCGGCGGUUGGGGAUGGACUCGCGGCUUAUCAGCUUGUUGGUGGGGUAGUGGCUUACCAAGGCUUUGACGGGUAGCCGGCCUGAGAGGGUGACCGGCAAAAUGGGACCGAGCAUACGGCCAGACUCCUACGGGAGGCAGCAGUGGGGAAUAUUGCACAAUGGGCGGAAGCCUGAUGCAGCAACGCCGCGUGCGGGAUGACGGCCUUCGGGUUGUAAACCGCUUUCGCCUGUGACGAAGCGUGAGUGACGGUAAUGGGUAAAGAAGCACCGGCUAACUACGUG